AGCAGCCGCGGUAAUUCCAGCUCCAAUAGCGUAUAUUAAAGUUGUUGCAGUUAAAAAGCUCGUAGUUGAAUUUCGGGGUCAGUAGAUUGGUCGUGCCACAGGUAUGUACUGGUCUUACUGGCUCCUCCUUCCUGAUGAACCGUAAUGCCAUUAAUUUGGUGUUGCGGGGAGACUGGACUGUUACUUUGAAAAAAUUAGAGUGUUUAAAGCAGGCUAACGCUUGAAUACAUUAGCAUGGAAUAAUGAAAUAGGACGUUCGAUCUUAUUUUGUUGGUUUCUAAGAUUGACGUAAUGAUUAAUAGGGAUAGUUGGGGGCAUUAGUAUUCAAUUGUCAGAGGUGAAAUUCUUGGAUUUAUUGAAGACUAACUACUGCGAAAGCAUUUGCCAAGGAUGUUUUCUAUUAAUCAAGAACGAAAGUUAAGGGGAGUCGAAGACGAUCAGAUACCGUCGUAGUCUUAACCAUAAACUAUGCCGACUAGGGAUCGGAUGAUGUUAAUUUUUUAAUGACUCA
RNAcentral lists this ribosomal RNA (511 nucleotides) under uncultured Glomeraceae. RNAcentral describes it as "SSU rRNA". It matches the Rfam family "Eukaryotic small subunit ribosomal RNA", at positions 569 to 1078 of the family's 1831-position model. Lineage: Eukaryota; Fungi; Glomeromycota; Glomeromycetes; Glomerales; Glomeraceae. The record is from RNAcentral.